This 77-nucleotide transfer RNA is filed under the name Brevibacterium jeotgali. Its description in RNAcentral is "tRNA_Pro_TGG". It matches the Rfam family "tRNA". Rfam says of the family: Transfer RNA (tRNA) molecules are approximately 80 nucleotides in length. Their secondary structure includes four short double-helical elements and three loops (D, anti-codon, and T loops). Lineage: Bacteria; Bacillati; Actinomycetota; Actinomycetes; Micrococcales; Brevibacteriaceae. The record is from RNAcentral.
CGGGAUGUAGCGCAGCUUGGUAGCGCAUCUGCUUUGGGAGCAGAGGGUCGCAGGUUCAAAUCCUGUCAUCCCGACGA